Molecule: ribosomal RNA, 433 nt
Filed under: uncultured bacterium
Lineage: Bacteria
Description: partial 16S ribosomal RNA
Rfam family: Bacterial small subunit ribosomal RNA
Source: RNAcentral
AACGAACGCUGGCGGCAUGCCUAACACAUGCAAGUCGAACGAGACCUUCGGGUCUAGUGGCGCACGGGUGCGUAACGCGUGGGAACCUGCCCUUAGGUUCGGAAUAACUCCCCGAAAGGGGUGCUAAUACCGGAUAAUGUCUUCGGACCAAAGAUUUAUCGCCUUUGGAUGGGCCCGCGUUGGAUUAGCUAGUUGGUAGGGUAAAAGCCUACCAAGGCGACGAUCCAUAGCUGGUCUGAGAGGAUGAUCAGCCACACUGGGACUGAGAUACGGCCCAGACUCCUACGGGAGGCAGGAGUGGGGAAUAUUGGACAAUGGGCGAAAGCCUGAUCCAGCAAUGCCGCGUGAGUGAUGAAGGCCUUAGGGUUGUAAAGCUCUUUUACCCGGGAUGAUAAUGACAGUACCGGGAGAAUAAGCUCCGGCUAACUCCGUG